RNAcentral lists this ribosomal RNA (1281 nucleotides) under Vietnamophryne inexpectata. RNAcentral's name for it is "partial 16S ribosomal RNA". It matches the Rfam family "Bacterial large subunit ribosomal RNA", at positions 267 to 2592 of the family's 2925-position model. Lineage: Eukaryota; Metazoa; Chordata; Amphibia; Anura; Microhylidae. The record is from RNAcentral.
GCCAAAAACCCAGCCCAUUCACCCCAUACUUAACCCCAUACUUCAUUCCCCCCCCCAAAACAUUCUCACAUCUUAGUAAAGGCGAUUAAAAAGAAAUUAGGAGCUUUAUAUUCAGUACCGCAAGGGAAGAGUGAAAUAAUAAUGAAAUACUAUUAAGCACAACAAAGCAAAGAUUUAACCUUGUACCUUUUGCAUCAUGGUCUUACAAGUCCAAUCAAGCAAAAUGAACCUUAAGUUUGCCCCCCCGAAACUAGACGAGCUACUUCAAAACAACCCAUCGAGCCAACCCGUCUCUGUUGCAAAAGAGUGGGAAGAUUUUCAAGUAGAGGUGAUAAACCUAUCGAGCCUAGAGAUAGCUGGUUACUCAGAAAAAAGGAUGUUAGUCCUACCUUAAACAUUUUUAUUAAACUUAUAAUACAUCAACAGAUUUAAAGAGCUAUUCAAUAAGGGUACAGCUUUAUUUUGAAAUAGGAUACACCCUACUCUACAGGGUAUUGGAAACUAACAUGACUAGUUGGCCUACAAGGAGCCAAAGAAAUAGACUUCUCCAACAAUGUAAGUGUAAGCCAAAAUGAACCAAUCAUUGGCACUCACCGUUCAUGAGCAUAAAGUAAUAACACAACACGAAAACCCUACUAACCCAAACGUUAACCUUACACUAGAACUUUUCAGGAAAGAUUAAAAAACAUGGAAGGAACUCGGCAAAUAAUAACCCCGCCUGUUUACCAAAAACAUCGCCUCCCGUCACUCAUGGGAGGUCCAGCCUGCCCAGUGAAUUAUAUUAAACGGCCGCGGUACCCUAACCGUGCAAAGGUAGCACAAUCACUUGUUCUUUAAAUAAGGACUAGUAUGAACGGCAUUACGAGGGUUACACUGUCUCCCCUGUUCAAUCAGUGAAACUAAUCCCCCCGUGAAGAAGCGGGGAUACUUUUAUAAGACGAGAAGACCCCAUGGAGCUUAAAACUCAGUAUCACUUGCAUUAUUACACCACAUGAACUGGCAAACCUGACUACUAGUUUUUGGUUGGGGUGACCGCGGAGCAAAAUAAAACCUCCACGACGAAUGGAACUAACUUCUAAUCAAAGAGCUACAACUCGCAGAAUCAACAUAUUGACUAAAAUUGACCCAAUAAUUUUGAACAACGAACCAAGUUACCCUGGGGAUAACAGCGCAAUCCAUUUCAAGAGCCCCUAUCGACAAAUGGGUUUACGACCUCGAUGUUGGAUCAGGGUGUCCAAGUGGUGCAGCCACUACUGAAGGUUCGUUUGUUCAACGAUUAAA